GGUUGAGUAGUGUAAUGGUUAUCACCGUGGAUUCUGAUUCCACUGAUCUGGGUUCGAUUCCCAGCUCGACCU
Molecule: non-coding RNA, 72 nt
Organism: Plectosphaerella cucumerina
Lineage: Eukaryota; Fungi; Ascomycota; Sordariomycetes; Glomerellales; Plectosphaerellaceae
Source: the annotation of a GenBank genome assembly